GAUGAACGCUAGCGGCAGGCCUAACACAUGCAAGUCGAGGGGCAGCACAGAAACAGCAAUGUUUUGGUGGCGACCGGCGGACGGGUGCGUAACGCGUAUGCAACCUACCUUUAACAGGGGGAUAACGGAGAGAAAUUUCCACUAAUACCCCAUAACAUCGAUCAAGGCAUCUUGAUUGGUUGAAAACUCCGGUGGUUAAAGAUGGGCAUGCGUUGUAUUAGGUAGUUGGUGAGGUAAUGGCUCACCAAGCCUACGAUACAUAGGGGGACUGAGAGGUUAGCCCCCCACACUGGUACUGAGACACGGACCAGACUCCUACGGGAGGCAGCAGUGAGUAAUAUUGGUCAAUGGGGGCAACCCUGAACCAGCCAUGCCGCGUGCAGGAAGAUGGCUCUAUGAGUUGUAAACUGCUUUUAAACAGGGAUAAAGCACAGUAUGUAUACUGUGUUGAAGGUACUGUAAGAAUAAGGAUCGGCUAACUCCGUGCCAGCCGCCGCAGUAA
This 502-nucleotide ribosomal RNA is filed under the name uncultured bacterium. RNAcentral describes it as "partial 16S ribosomal RNA". It matches the Rfam family "Bacterial small subunit ribosomal RNA", at positions 28 to 523 of the family's 1533-position model. The record is from RNAcentral.